Molecule: transfer RNA, 65 nt
Filed under: Ocypus brunnipes
Lineage: Eukaryota; Metazoa; Arthropoda; Insecta; Coleoptera; Staphylinidae
Description: tRNA-Phe
Source: RNAcentral
AUUUGAAUAGCUUAUACAGAGCAUAAUAUUGAAGAUAUUAAGGAAAUAGUCUCUAUUUUUAAAUA